UUUCAAUGACUGAAGCUAGGUGCUAGCUAGAGUUUGCCUUUGUAAAUCAGCAACGAUGUCAGCCUGAGGAAGAUUUACAACGUGCAUUUAACAUGGACUUCCUCUGGAUGGUGGCAGAUUGACAAC
Long non-coding RNA from Engraulis encrasicolus (European anchovy), 126 nucleotides. RefSeq lists it as uncharacterized. The transcript is spliced from 2 exons. Lineage: Eukaryota; Metazoa; Chordata; Actinopteri; Clupeiformes; Engraulidae. The record is from RefSeq and is a predicted model, not a curated record.